AAGAAAGGGGGGCAUGAGCUAUAACAGUAGACCUUAGAUGCAUAUGAAGCCACAUAUCUACAAAAUGUGAAAGAGAAUACAAAUUGCAGACCAUCUCAGAGGCAAAUGUAUGAUGAAAAUUUAACUCCUAAGUUGUACAACAUAUGUUUUGACUAAAUUGAUUGCUCAAAGAAUUAGGAAUUUGCCAAUGUGACACCGAAAUCACAAGGAACGGUCGAACAUGAGUGAAGCUAAUACUAUUCCAGGCAAAACUCGAAUAUCAACAAAUAUUAUUUAAAUUUCCCCACAAUAUACAAAUUCUAAAGGCUGGUGACACAAGAUAUAGAAAGAAAUCACAUCUUAGACACAGUUAAACACAUGAAGGUAGUAGAAACUACUUACGAAAACAAAGAACCGAAAAUAAUGAAAGCUAAGGAUACAUAACAUAAACAGAAUGGGACUAGAGAUUAAAA
This 452-nucleotide unclassified non-coding RNA is filed under the name Hevea brasiliensis (rubber tree). The record is from RNAcentral. Lineage: Eukaryota; Viridiplantae; Streptophyta; Magnoliopsida; Malpighiales; Euphorbiaceae.